GUGAUCCAGGCCCCACCACUGCUCCUCACAAGAGGGAGGUACAAAGAGGGUGCAGACGUGGCCCUCAGGCCAGCGCUGGUUAUCGCGGCUUGGUCACAAAUGCAGACUCACAGGGCCCUCCUCAGCCCUGCCCUGCAGAACCCCAAGCUCCCCGGAUGCAAAGCCCAUUAGGUUUGGGAAGCCCAGUUGGCUGGGUGGCUGCCACCCUGGCUGGAGAAUGCAGUUCCCUGCAGACUUCUACCAAAUCCUGGGUCCCCCUGUUGGGGCCCUGAGUCCACGUGUCCGCGGACUCCUACAGCACCUCAGAAGGCACUGCAGGAGGGACAGGACGGCUGCGGGGGGCACCAGGAGGUGCCACUAGCGAGGCACCCGGGAGGCACCGCAGGGAAGGAAAUAGAAGUGCAGAGUUGUUGAGAAACUUCCUCAAGAUCACACUGCGAGGGAGGGACAAAGCCUGAAUUUAAAAACUGGUUUUCCAGCUACCAGACCCGGUCCUGAGGACUCCUCCUGAGGGCUGCGCUGAGCUGCUGAUGCUGUAGAAUGCCCUGGCUGAUGUCCAAGGGAGAGGACUCACCACUCUCCUCACCCAUGACAGCAGCAAUGCUUUCCUUCCUGCCUGCCUUUACUUAUUUUGGGGACAUGGGUGGAUAUCUAGCCUUUGAAACUUGAUGUUUAUGUGGAGCUAUUUAAAGGGCCUCGGAAAGUGCUGGGUACAGGCCAGCAUGUGAUCCAAGGGUGAUCAGAGCCAGGUGAACAGAAGCUCACUCUGAGCUGGUGAUGGACCCCAGUGGGUUCCCUGCCAGGGGCUCAGCAGCACCCCCUGGGUACCCAGGAGGGAUUUGCAGGCUUUGGCUGGCCUCACAUCUGCAGCCUUGGCUUCCACGUUGCCUGAAACUCGCUGCCCAGCGAGACACCUAGUCCCGUAUUGACCUGUUCUUCCCCUUUACAUCCGCCCACGCCCUCCACAGCUGCCUUUGUCUUCUGUCCCUAACCCUUUCCGUGGGCAGUCCCAGGCGUGGCACUGUCUCCCCAGUGGAGGAGUGCUGGCUAUGGAGGUGUUUGAGGCAGAGGGUCCGAGCUCCACUCUUUCUCCCUGUGCCUUUCCUCCACAUGCAGUGGCUCAGCCUUGGACUUCCAAGUCUCCAGAACAUUAAAACAAAACCUCUGUUCUUUAUAAA
Long non-coding RNA from Cavia porcellus (domestic guinea pig), 1178 nucleotides. RefSeq lists it as uncharacterized. The record is from RefSeq and is a predicted model, not a curated record. NCBI's taxonomy places the organism in Eukaryota, Metazoa, Chordata, Mammalia, Rodentia, Caviidae. The transcript is spliced from 2 exons.